Triticum aestivum (bread wheat) is the source of this 126-nucleotide non-coding RNA. The record is from Rfam. NCBI's taxonomy places the organism in Eukaryota, Viridiplantae, Streptophyta, Magnoliopsida, Poales, Poaceae.
UGUGUACUCCCUCCGUCCGAAAAAACUUGUCCCAUACUUGUUCCCCAAACGAAUGUAUCUAGCACUAACUUGGUGUUACAUACAUCCAUUUGAGAGACAAACUUUUUCGGAUGGAGGGAGUAUAUA